RNAcentral lists this ribosomal RNA (464 nucleotides) under uncultured Methanosaeta sp. RNAcentral's name for it is "bacterial SSU rRNA". It matches the Rfam family "Archaeal small subunit ribosomal RNA", at positions 875 to 1338 of the family's 1478-position model. The record is from RNAcentral. Lineage: Archaea; Methanobacteriati; Methanobacteriota; Methanomicrobia; Methanotrichales; Methanotrichaceae.
AGCACCACAACGGGUGGAGCUUGCGGUUUAAUUGGAUUCAACGCCGAAAAUCUUACCGGGACCGACAGCAAUAUGAAGGCCAGGCUGAAGACUUUGCCGGAUUAGCUGAGAGGUGGUGCAUGGCCGUCGUCAGUUCGUACUGUGAAGCAUCCUGUUAAGUCAGGCAACGAGCGAGACCCACGCCCACAGUUGCCAGCGUACUCUCUGGAGUGACGGGUACACUGUGGGGACCGCCGCUGCUAAAGCGGAGGAAGGAAUGGGCAACGGUAGGUCAGUAUGCCCCGAAUAUCCCGGGCUACACGCGAGCUACAAUGGUUGGUACAAUGGGUAUCUACCCCGAAAGGGGACGGGAAUCUCCUAAAACCAAUCUUAGUUCGGAUUGAGGGCUGCAACUCGCCCUCAUGAAGCUGGAAUCCGUAGUAAUCGCGUUUCAACAGAACGCGGUGAAUACGUCCCUGCUCCUU